AUUGAACGCUGGCGGCAGGCCUAACACAUGCAAGUCGAACGGUAGCACAGAGAGCUUGCUCUCGGGUGACGAGUGGCGGACGGGUGAGUAAUGUCUGGGAAACUGCCCGAUGGAGGGGGAUAACUACUGGAAACGGUAGCUAAUACCGCAUAACGUCGCAAGACCAAAGUGGGGGACCUUCGGGCCUCACACCAUCGGAUGUGCCCAGAGGGGAUUAGCUAGUAGGCGGGGUAAUGGCUCACCUAGGCGACGAUCCCUAGCUGGUCUGAGAGGAUGACCAGCCACACUGGAACUGAGACACGGUCCAGACUCCUACGGGAGGCAGCAGUGGGGAAUAUUGCACACUGGGCGCAAGCCUGAUGCAGCCAUGCCGCGUGUAUGAAGAAGGCCUUCGGGUUGUAAAGUACUUUCAGCGGGGAGGAAGGCGGUGAAGUUAAUAACUUCACCGAUUGACGUUACCCGCAGAAGAAGCACCGGCUAACUCCGUGCCAGCCGCCGCCGUAA
Molecule: ribosomal RNA, 504 nt
Filed under: uncultured bacterium
Lineage: Bacteria
Description: partial 16S ribosomal RNA
Rfam family: Bacterial small subunit ribosomal RNA
Source: RNAcentral